UACGUAGGGUGCAAGCGUUGUCCGGAAUUAUUGGGCGUAAAGAGCUCGUAGGCGGUCUGUCGCGUCUGCUGUGAAAACUCAUGGCUUAACCCUGAGCUUGCAGUGGGUACGGGCAGACUAGAGUGCGGUAGGGGAGACUGGAAUUCCUGGUGUAGCGGUGAAAUGCGCAGAUAUCAGGAGGAACACCGGUGGCGAAGGCGGGUCUCUGGGCCGUAACUGACGCUGAGGAGCGAAAGCGUGGGGAGCGAACAGG
This 253-nucleotide ribosomal RNA is filed under the name uncultured bacterium. RNAcentral's name for it is "partial 16S ribosomal RNA". It matches the Rfam family "Bacterial small subunit ribosomal RNA", at positions 524 to 776 of the family's 1533-position model. The record is from RNAcentral.